RNAcentral lists this ribosomal RNA (506 nucleotides) under uncultured bacterium. RNAcentral's name for it is "partial 16S ribosomal RNA". It matches the Rfam family "Bacterial small subunit ribosomal RNA", at positions 28 to 523 of the family's 1533-position model. The record is from RNAcentral.
GAUGAACGCUAGCUACAGGCUUAACACAUGCAAGUCGAGGGGUAACGAGAGGAAAGCUUGCUUUCCUUGUCGACGACCGGCGCACGGGUGAGUAACGCGUAUCCAACCUGCCCCCAACUAGGGAAUAACCUUGCGAAAGUAAGACUAAUACCCUAUAAUUUCCUCAGAUGUCAUCUGACGAGGAAUAAAGGUUUAUCGGUUGUGGAUGGGGAUGCGUCUGAUUAGCUUGUUGGCGGGGUAACGGCCCACCAAGGCAACGAUCAGUAGGGGUUCUGAGAGGAAGGUCCCCCACAUUGGAACUGAGACACGGUCCAAACUCCUACGGGAGGCAGCAGUGAGGAAUAUUGGUCAAUGGGCGGAAGCCUGAACCAGCCAAGUAGCGUGCAGGAUGACGGCCCUAUGGGUUGUAAACUGCUUUUAUACAGGAAUAAAGUUAGCCACGUGUGGUUAUUUGUAGGUACUGUAUGAAUAAGGACCGGCUAAUUCCGUGCCAGCAGCCGCGGUAA